CAGGUGCUGCACGGCUGUCGUCAGCUCGUGUCGUGAGAUGUUGGGUUAAGUCCCGUUAACGAGCGCAACCCUUGUCCUUAGUUACCAGCACGUUAUGGUGGGCACUCUAAGGAGACUGCCGGUGACAAACCGGAGGAAGGUGGGGAUGACGUCAAGUCAUCAUGGCCCUUACGGCCUGGGCUACACACGUGCUACAAUGGUCGGUACAAAGGGUUGCCAAGCCGCGAGGUGGAGCUAAUCCCAUAAAACCGAUCGUAGUCCGGAUCGCAGUCUGCAACUCGACUGCGUGAAGUCGGAAUCGCUAGUAAUCGUGAAUCAGAAUGUCACGGUGAAUACGUUCCCGGGCCUU
This 349-nucleotide ribosomal RNA is filed under the name uncultured Pseudomonas sp. RNAcentral's name for it is "bacterial SSU rRNA". It matches the Rfam family "Bacterial small subunit ribosomal RNA", at positions 1035 to 1382 of the family's 1533-position model. Lineage: Bacteria; Pseudomonadati; Pseudomonadota; Gammaproteobacteria; Pseudomonadales; Pseudomonadaceae. The record is from RNAcentral.